GACGAACGCUGGCGGCGUGCUUAACACAUGCAAGUCGAACGGAAAGGCCCUGCUUGCAGGGUACUCGAGUGGCGAACGGGUGAGUAACACGUGGGUGAUCUGCCCUGCACUUCGGGAUAAGACUGGGAAACUGGGUCUAAUACCGGAUAGGAGCCAUUUUUAGUGUGAUGGUUGGAAAGUUUUUUGGGUGUAGGAUGAGCUCCCGGCCUAUCAGGUUGUUGGUGGGGUAAUGGGCUACCAAGGCGGCGGCGGGGAGGCGGCCUGGGGGGGUGGACGGCCAAAUUGGGGACGGGGAAAGGGCCAGGAUCCUAAGGGGAGCAAGAAUGGGGGAUAUUGGACAAUGGGGGGGAGGCUGAUGCAACGAAGGCGCGGGGGGGGUGAAGGGCUUCGGGUUGGAAAAUCGUUUCGGUAGGGAAGAAGCUGUUUGUGACGGUACCUAGAAAAGAAGCACCGGCUAACUACGUG
RNAcentral lists this ribosomal RNA (465 nucleotides) under uncultured bacterium. RNAcentral describes it as "partial 16S ribosomal RNA". It matches the Rfam family "Bacterial small subunit ribosomal RNA", at positions 28 to 507 of the family's 1533-position model. The record is from RNAcentral.